CAGCUCUAGGCGGUGGAUCACUCGGCUCGUGGGUCAGA
RNAcentral lists this ribosomal RNA (38 nucleotides) under Meretrix lyrata. RNAcentral describes it as "partial 5.8S ribosomal RNA". The record is from RNAcentral. Lineage: Eukaryota; Metazoa; Mollusca; Bivalvia; Venerida; Veneridae.